UACGAAGGGGGCAAGCGUUGUUCGGAAUCACUGGGCGUAAAGCGUGCGUAGGCGGCAUUACAAGUCGGAAGUGAAAUCCCUGGGCUCAACCCAGGAACUGCUUUCGAAACUGUUUUGCUUGAAUCCGGGAGAGGUUGGCGGAAUUCCAAGUGUAGAGGUGAAAUUCGCAGAUAUUUGGAGGAACACCAGUGGCGUAAGCGGCCAACUGGACCGGUAUUGACGCUGAGGCACGAAAGCGUGGGGAUCAAACAGG
RNAcentral lists this ribosomal RNA (253 nucleotides) under uncultured bacterium. RNAcentral describes it as "partial 16S ribosomal RNA". It matches the Rfam family "Bacterial small subunit ribosomal RNA", at positions 524 to 776 of the family's 1533-position model. The record is from RNAcentral.